Molecule: ribosomal RNA, 422 nt
Filed under: uncultured bacterium
Lineage: Bacteria
Description: bacterial SSU rRNA
Rfam family: Bacterial small subunit ribosomal RNA
Source: RNAcentral
GGAAUUUUGGACAAUGGGCGCAAGCCUGAUCCAGCCAUGCCGCGUGCGGGAAGAAGGCCUUCGGGUUGUAAACCGCUUUUAGCCGGAAAGAAAAGGCACGGGCCAAUACCCCGUGUUCUUGACGGUACCGGCGGAAUAAGCACCGGCUAACGUCGUGCCAGCAGCCGCGGUAAUACGUAGGGUGCGGGCGUUAAACGGAAUUACUGGGCGUAAAGCGUGCGCAGGCGGUCCGUUGUGUCCUGUGUGAAAGCCCCGGGCUCAACCUGGGAAUGGCAUGGGAAACUGGCGGGCUGGAGUGUGGCAGAGGGGGGUGGAAUUCCGCGUGUAGCAGUGAAAUGCGUAGAGAUGCGGAGGAACACCGAUGGCGAAGGCAGCCCCCUGGGCCAACACUGACGCUCAGGCACGAAAGCGUGGGGAGCAAA